Long non-coding RNA from Hippoglossus stenolepis (Pacific halibut), 2814 nucleotides. RefSeq lists it as uncharacterized. Lineage: Eukaryota; Metazoa; Chordata; Actinopteri; Pleuronectiformes; Pleuronectidae. The transcript is spliced from 2 exons. The record is from RefSeq and is a predicted model, not a curated record.
CAGUUAUUAGAGACCAUACUGAUGUGACACCACCCAGUGACCGUUUUGUCUGUCUGACAACGAUGUCACCGCCUCUCAGUGGUGAUGAAUAUGGGAAGUUACUCACUGAAAGGUAAGUAUUGAAUGAAAAGAAUGAAAUAAACCUGUCUGAAGAUCAUUGUGAUGUUCCCCCUACAUCAAGGGCCAUCUGACAUUUUACUGUAUUCUGUGUAUUCCAUCAAUGUUUUGCUUAUUUAUUUUAUAAGUACUUGACUAGAACUAGAUAUGUGGAAAACGUUUAUAAAUGCAGGGUAAUGGAUGAGCUUGUAGACAAGCAGACUUGUUCACAGGAGACUGAAGCUCCUGCCACAGGCGAACUAUUGCAUUUUCAUUAACUUAAGUGGUUGACUAUGCUUGUCUGUACCUUAAAAGAGCUUAGCAUGUAGCAUGGCCCCCCCCUCCGCUGCUUCGCAUGCCACUCCCUCGAACGCUUGCAUCAUUUGGGAUGGUAAUGCCGGUGGUCUCUGGGGUACGUAGUAUCUCCAAGGGGAUAAAAGAAGUGUUAAAACUGAACCUCAUGCUGGCAGAAAUUAUAUAAAAAAAAAAAAUCCUAAUUUCUCCCUGAUUGUCUCAUUUGCUGUUGUAGGUCAUAAAGAGGCACCAAUAUUAAAAUGAGACCGUUUCAUAACCAGUUACAAACUCCUUGUAUAGAGGCUUUAAAAACUGUUUAAAAAUGUUCAUGUGCAUAAGUGUCCUAAAUCCCACGUUGUCUGCAGCUUUGAACAACACCAUAUUCACAUGUAUUUACACUGUCAUACACAGUGGCACUAUCAUGUUUUCAACAAGUCACCCGUAUGGACACUUUAUGUACAGAUGUGUGUAAUUACAAUAAGAUUCAAGAGUUUAUUGUCAUGUGCACACCAAUCACAUUUAGCAGUCGCAAAAAAUAAGAAUAAAAAUAAAUAUAGAAUAGAAUAUCAGAUUGGAGGAGUUUAAAAGUCUUAUGGCCUGGGGGAUGAAACUGGCUCUGAGCCUGGUGGUGCGGGCCCGGAUGCUGCAGUAUCGUCGGCCAGAUGGCAGCAGGCAGAACAGUUUAUGGCUGGGGUGAUAGUGGUCUUGAAUAAUCAUUAGGUACAGGAUGUUGGCAAAUUAAGUGUUUCUCUCGGUCACAAACACUGACUUCAGAGUCAUUGACACUUCUCACCACCGGUUUCUUAUGUCUGAUCCGUAGACCGUGUUUAAUAAGUGGAUGUAGCUUCCAGCUCCAAAAGAUGAAGCCUAUGCGUAAGUGCUGAAAAGUGUAAUACAAAGGAUAUCCGGCAGGGGCUGGCCCCAAAAGAAUACAUUUCAAUACAUUUUUCCCAUAAGUAUUUAUGGUCUCAUUUGCUAAAUUCACCCCUUCUUAUCAGUGGUCUGGUGGUCCAUCUGAAAAAAAUAUCGUUUAUGAUUAGAUAUUAGAGCUCAAAGUGUGGUAGUUUUGGGGUGUCCGUUUGAUUGACACACAGUCUCACGGAUGAUUGACAGACAGCAGAGCAAAACUGGAGCUUUACUUACAUUGCGUUCACUCAUUUGUUUUAUAUUUAUCAUUAUUCUUUCAUUAUUUAUUUGUCGCUGGUUGUUUUUUACACCGACAGGUUUUCUGUUAGUUCUUUCAAUUAGUUUAUGUUCACUGUGAUAAUGACACGUUCUUCGAUAACAACAGAGGAGCUGAUAAAAAGUUAGUACGGUGAGUAAACUUUUCUUAACGUUUUACAGUUUUUAUCUUCAUUUUCUACUAUCUACUAGCUAGCUAGUUAGCUGAUAGUUUUUGCAAUGCCGGGUGGACCUGUCCCCUCAGGGCUGCUAAGCUGUGUUAACUAGAUGUUAAGGUUAAAUCGAUAUAAAUGUAAAUUUAGCCAACAUUAUGAUGACGAUGUCUGUUUUGUUUCUGCCACAUGUGACUGUAUAAACGAUGAGAGCUGCAUUAUUGUGAGUUAUUAAAAGUCCAUGAGGACAUCAUUAUAGUUCUGUUUAACAUAAUGUUUAGGUAACGUCCUUUAUGCAGUUAAACAGUAGCAUUAACUUUCUGUGUUUUGUCCUAGUUCUUUUAAAUACCUACUGUGUCUCUAAGGUUAACCAUGUGAAAAAAGUUUUGUGUAGGUCUAUGAAGCUAUGUAGUGCAGCUGUCAGAUUAUACUGACUGCGUAGGAAUAAAAUCAGACAGUGAGUUUUCUACAUUAGAUCCAGGUGUAUGAUUCAUCCGGGGCUGUGGAUGUCUGAUUUCUGGGUCUUUAUAUCUACCCCAAUCUGAUUUUAUGUGCUAAUGUCUGGUGGUGAUCUACUAAUUAAUUGAUAGUUUUUCUAUUUUACUAUGCGCUCAUGCUUUUCUAUGUUUUUUAUCCGCCAUCAAUCCACCAGAAGCUGACAGGCUGAAGUAAUGGUUGAUGAUGAUGAUGUGAAACAACUGGACCUCAUCCAUCACAUCCAAUCUGUGCAGUUCACACUUUGAGGAGCAGGUCUUCACACACAAGAAGGUACUGAAUGGCUGUUGUCAGUAGAAGGAAGACCUCAUGUAUGAAGUGAUUGUGGUGCCAUUCGUCAGGAUGCUGAGGCCGGAUAACAACAUCCUUAAUUCUUUAAUGAGAUGUGCUGGUGAUGUCAGUAAACCACCUCCAGUUCAGCUUCCUCUGAUGAGAUGACAGACUAACAGAACUUUGUAUAUCAUUCUCUGUAUUCACAGGUACAGUUUAUUUGCCUUUUACUUAAUUUCUUCGGUUUUUAGAGUUGGUAGUAACAUUUUCAAAACAUACAACAUUUGAAAACUAUAUAUAUAUAUAGGCUAGGCCCAAAGUGUUU